AGCGUAGACGGCAAGGCAAGUCUGAUGUGAAAACCCAGGGCUUAACCCUGGGACUGCAUUGGAAACUGUCUGGCUCGAGUGCCGGAGAGGUAAGCGGAAUUCCUAGUGUAGCGGUGAAAUGCGUAGAUAUUAGGAAGAACACCAGUGGCGAAGGCGGCUUACUGGACGGUAACUGACGUUGAGGCUCGAAAGCGUGGGGAGGCAAACG
RNAcentral lists this ribosomal RNA (208 nucleotides) under uncultured bacterium. RNAcentral's name for it is "partial 16S ribosomal RNA". It matches the Rfam family "Bacterial small subunit ribosomal RNA", at positions 568 to 775 of the family's 1533-position model. The record is from RNAcentral.